UACGGAGGAUCCAAGCGUUGUCCGGAUUUAUUGGGUUUAAAGGGUGCGUAGGCGGACCAUUAAGUCAGAGGUGAAAGUUUGCAGCUUAACUGUAAAAUUGCCUUUGAAACUGGUGGUCUUGAGUACAGUUGAGGUGGGCGGAAUGUGUCAUGUAGCGGUGAAAUGCUUAGAUAUGAUACAGAACACCGAUUGCGAAGGCAGCUCACUAAACUGUAACUGACGCUGAGGCACGAAAGCGUGGGGAGCGAACAGG
This 253-nucleotide ribosomal RNA is filed under the name uncultured bacterium. RNAcentral describes it as "partial 16S ribosomal RNA". It matches the Rfam family "Bacterial small subunit ribosomal RNA", at positions 524 to 776 of the family's 1533-position model. The record is from RNAcentral.